UACGAAGGGGGCUAGCGUUGCUCGGAAUCACUGGGCGUAAAGGGCGCGUAGGCGGCCGAUUAAGUCGGGGGUGAAAGCCUGUGGCUCAACCACAGAAUUGCCUUCGAUACUGGUGGCUUGAGACCGGAAGAGGACAGCGGAACUGCGAGUGUAGAGGUGAAAUUCGUAGAUAUUCGCAAGAACACCAGUGGCGAAGGCGGCUGUCUGGUCCGGUUCUGACGCUGAGGCGCGAAAGCGUGGGGAGCAAACAGG
This 252-nucleotide ribosomal RNA is filed under the name uncultured bacterium. RNAcentral's name for it is "partial 16S ribosomal RNA". It matches the Rfam family "Bacterial small subunit ribosomal RNA", at positions 524 to 776 of the family's 1533-position model. The record is from RNAcentral.